AUGGCGCCGCCCGGGAGGAAGCCUGAUGCCGGCUCUCUCCCGGGAAACCGGGCCUGGCAGUCCGGUCAAGUUCGGAUUAAACCCCAAAUCGACGUCUUUUUCCUUCCUCUCCUCCCACUCCAAUCCCUCUAUCUUCCCUCCUCCCCUCCCUCCCCACUCCACACACCCCCAAAGUGUCCAGUGCUUCGCUUCGCACCCACUCAACUCCGUCUUGCUUUCUUCGUUCAGCCUGUCCCCCUGUCCCUGGAGCUGCAGGCCCCGGGCCUCUCCCCGGGCUCGCUCCCCUCUCUCCCCUUCUCUCCACGCUUUUUCCUCUUUGUUACUCCCCAAAUCUCCCUCCUUUCUCACGCCGUCUCCUUCUCCCUCUCCCUCGUCUUCUCCAUCUCCCACCGGGCUCUUUCGGAGACGCCUCGGCCCCGGGCCCGAGGUGCCGACGGGGGUGCCGGGUGUUCUGGAGGCCAGAGGGGACCCCCGCUCCCUGCUCAGGAAGAAGCCACCUCGAGCCGCUCCCGGGCCACCUCUGUCCAGGGCAGCUUCCAGACAUCCCGGUCCUGCCGACUCGGCGCAAUCAAGCACAGGUUCAACAUCACCCGCGGGCGGUCGCCGGGCGCAAAAUCGCAGACGUGGUUUCACCUACCUUGAGUCGCUCUCCCGUCUCCGCUGUCUGGGCCCGGGAAUCCGAGGGCCUGCAGCCGCCGUUCUUCCUCUUCCUCCUCCUGCUCCGCCGCCGCUGCAGCCGCCUCUGCCUCCACCGCCAAGGUUGCAACUCCCGGAGCCAGUUAUCCGGAUCAGUGGGGACCUAUCGGGAACCGCCGAAGCCGCCCGAGCGAGGCAGCGCCCUGAGCCAGCCUGCCGCGAGGUGACAGAGCCGCGCUCUUCCAUUAUAUAUUUAUAUAGCGCCCAGGCGGGAGGUAUAUAAAUAUAUAUAUUCCACCAAUCACCAAAAUCCAGUCCACAGACCUCAGGUUCCUGCAAAAAGCGCGCUCCCCCCACCCCCCGCACCCCUCUCCCCACGCCUUCGUAGGAUCCAUCCGGAUCCGCAUCCGGCGGGAUCGAAAACACGGGCCGGGCCUCCCGGUAAUUCUCCCUCUCCGGGGGUGUCCCUGGAGGUCCCGGGGGAUCCUUGCCUCCUUAUCUCUUUGCCUCCUCCCCCUAUCCUCUCCCCCCGCACCCCGAGGACAAGCGGAAACCAGAGCCUAGGCGCCCCCUCCCCCUCCCUCCUUCUCCCACCUGCGGGAGCGGCCGGAGCCCCCGAUCCAGGGCAGAAACGGCCCGAGGCCCCCGACUCGCGUUGGCCCAAACUAGGGGGUGGGGUGGGGGUGGGAAGGAAUCAUCCCCGCUGCGGCUCCCGGCCUCCCCGCCUCACGGACCGUCCGGCUUGCGGGUUGCUUUCUUCUCCCUCGACAGCAGCAGCAGCCCCCGUGCUCCUCUAUAAAUCUGCUCCUCUCUCCGAUAUCAUAAUUAAGAAGGAACGGUAGGGGAGAUUUUAACUUUUAUUGCGUUUCUGGAGUUGGGCCGCCGAGCAUAUAUUAAGUUUACGCUUUGCUCUCUCGGCGGGGGGGCGGGAGAGAGGGAGUUUUUUAAGAAAUAAAAAUCUAUCUUCAUAUCCACAGGCGAGCGAGAGUAGGGGGUGAGGGGAUUCUUUUCGGGCCUUCUCUCGGCAGCCGAAGCUCCCGGAAUCUGGGUGGGGAUUGGGCCCAGGGCGGGGGCCUAGGGCGGGGGCCCAACUGGGGUUCCCCGCCGUCCGGAACGAGAACGGGGGGAACACCGGAGGGAGGGG
Molecule: long non-coding RNA, 1780 nt
Organism: Ornithorhynchus anatinus (platypus)
Lineage: Eukaryota; Metazoa; Chordata; Mammalia; Monotremata; Ornithorhynchidae
Exons: 3
Source: RefSeq, a predicted model, not a curated record